RNAcentral lists this ribosomal RNA (620 nucleotides) under uncultured bacterium. RNAcentral's name for it is "bacterial SSU rRNA". It matches the Rfam family "Bacterial small subunit ribosomal RNA", at positions 430 to 1052 of the family's 1533-position model. The record is from RNAcentral.
CCUCUUUCAGUAGGGAAGAAGCCCCUUUUUGGGGUGACGGUACUUGCAGAAGAAGCGCCGGCUAACUACGUGCCAGCAGCCGCGGUAAUACGUAGGGCGCAAGCGUUAUCCGGAAUUAUUGGGCGUAAAGAGCUCGUAGGCGGUUUGUCGCGUCUGCCGUGAAAGUCCGAGGCUCAACCUCGGAUCUGCGGUGGGUACGGGCAGACUAGAGUGAUGUAGGGGAGACUGGAAUUCCUGGUGUAGCGGUGAAAUGCGCAGAUAUCAGGAGGAACACCGAUGGCGAAGGCAGGUCUCUGGGCAUUUACUGACGCUGAGGAGCGAAAGCAUGGGGAGCGAACAGGAUUAGAUACCCUGGUAGUCCAUGCCGUAAACGUUGGGCACUAGGUGUGGGGGACAUUCCACGUUUUCCGCGCCGUAGCUAACGCAUUAAGUGCCCCGCCUGGGGAGUACGGCCGCAAGGCUAAAACUCAAAGGAAUUGACGGGGGCCCGCACAAGCGGCGGAGCAUGCGGAUUAAUUCGAUGCAACGCGAAGAACCUUACCAAGGCUUGACAUGUUCCAGACCGGGCCAGAGAUGGUCUUUCCCCUUUUGGGGCUGGUUCACAGGUGGUGCAUGGUUGU